This 60-nucleotide ribosomal RNA is filed under the name Klebsiella pneumoniae. RNAcentral describes it as "partial 23S ribosomal RNA". Lineage: Bacteria; Pseudomonadati; Pseudomonadota; Gammaproteobacteria; Enterobacterales; Enterobacteriaceae. The record is from RNAcentral.
UCGGCAAAUUAGAUCCGUAACUUCGGGAUAAGGAUUGGCUCUGAAGACUGUGGUAGCUGC